Molecule: transfer RNA, 114 nt
Filed under: Planctomycetota bacterium
Lineage: Bacteria; Pseudomonadati; Planctomycetota
Description: tRNA-His
Source: RNAcentral
GGUGGGCAAGAGCAGGGGCUUUGGAACGUAAACCCUUGUCCUCACCCGCUUUGCACAAUUCGGGCACCAGAUUGUGGAUCUGGAUAUCGCGGGUUCGAAUCCCGUCACCCACCC